Molecule: long non-coding RNA, 244 nt
Filed under: Ananas comosus (pineapple)
Lineage: Eukaryota; Viridiplantae; Streptophyta; Magnoliopsida; Poales; Bromeliaceae
Description: long non-coding RNA (ACOM_LNC028521)
Source: RNAcentral
CUUUUUAACAAAUACCUAAAAUUCUAUAUAUAUGUUUUUGAAAACUAACCUAUUUACACAUUAAUUUUGUCAGAUAUAUUUAUAUAAAUAAAACUUUUCAUUUUAAUCCACUGUCCUCGAGCAAAUAGCAAUAGACUCGAUGAUUAGUAUUCGAAAUUCUAAGUUUGAAGCGGUAGUAUGCCGCCAACUUCAAAUCAAAUUUCAACUUUUUGGCCAUAGAAGAAGUAAGAAUUUCAAAUUAUUU